UUAAGCGACUAAGCGUACACGGUGGAUGCCCUGGCAGUCAGAGGCGAUGAAGGACGUGCUAAUCUGCGAAAAGCGUCGGUAAGGUGAUAUGAACCGUUAUAGCCGGCGAUGUCCGAAUGGGGAAACCCAGUGCAAUUCGUUGCACUAUCGUUAACUGAAUACAUAGGUUAACGAGGCGAACCGGGGGAACUGAAACAUCUAAGUACCCCGAGGAAAAGAAAUCAACCGAGAUUCCCCCAGUAGCGGCGAGCGAACGGGGAGCAGCCCAGAGUCUGAAUCAGCUUGUGUGUUAGUGGAACGGUCUGGAAAGUCCGACGGUACAGGGUGAUAGUCCCGUACACCAAAAUGCACAGGCUGUGAACUCGAAGAGUAGGGCGGGACACGUGGUAUCCUGUCUGAAUAUGGGGGGACCAUCCUCCAAGGCUAAAUACUCCUGACUGACCGAUAGUGAACCAGUACCGUGAGGGAAAGGCGAAAAGAACCCCGGCGAGGGGAGUGAAAAAGAACCUGAAACCGUGUACGUACAAGCAGUGGGAGCACCUUUAUGGUGUGACUGCGUACCUUUUGUAUAAUGGGUCAGCGACUUAUAUUCUGUAGCAAGGUUAACCGUAUAGGGGAGCCGCAGGGAAACCGAGUCUUAACUGGGCGUUAAGUUGCAGGGUAUAGACCCGAAACCCGGUGAUCUAGCCAUGGGCAGGUUGAAGGUUGGGUAACACUAACUGGAGGACCGAACCGACUAAUGUUGAAAAAUUAGCGGAUGACUUGUGGCUGGGGGUGAAAGGCCAAUCAAACCGGGAGAUAGCUGGUUCUCCCCGAAAGCUAUUUAGGUAGCGCCUCGUGAACUCAUCUUCGGGGGUAGAGCACUGUUUCGGCUAGGGGGUCAUCCCGACUUACCAACCCGAUGCAAACUACGAAUACCGAAGAAUGUUAUCACGGGAGACACACGGCGGGUGCUAACGUCCGUCGUGAAGAGGGAAACAACCCAGACCGCCAGCUAAGGUCCCAAAGUCAUGGUUAAGUGGGAAACGAUGUGGGAAGGCACAGACAGCCAGGAUGUUGGCUUAGAAGCAGCCAUCAUUUAAAGAAAGCGUAAUAGCUCACUGGUCGAGUCGGCCUGCGCGGAAGAUGUAACGGGGCUAAACCAUGCACCGAAGCUGCGGCAGCGACACGAUGUGUUGUUGGGUAGGGGAGCGUUCUGUAAGCCUGCGAAGGUGACCUGUGAGGGUUGCUGGAGGUAUCAGAAGUGCGAAUGCUGACAUAAGUAACGAUAAAGCGGGUGAAAAGCCCGCUCGCCGGAAGACCAAGGGUUCCUGUCCAACGUUAAUCGGGGCAGGGUGAGUCGACCCCUAAGGCGAGGCCGAAAGGCGUAGUCGAUGGGAAACAGGUUAAUAUUCCUGUACUUGGUGUUACUGCGAAGGGGGGACGGAGAAGGCUAUGUUAGCCGGGCGACGGUUGUCCCGGUUUAAGCAUGUAGGCUGGUUAUCCAGGCAAAUCCGGAUAAUCAAGGCUGAGGUGUGAUGACGAGGCACUACGGUGCUGAAGUAACAAAUGCCCUGCUUCCAGGAAAAGCCUCUAAGCAUCAGGUAACACGAAAUCGUACCCCAAACCGACACAGGUGGUCAGGUAGAGAAUACCAAGGCGCUUGAGAGAACUCGGGUGAAGGAACUAGGCAAAAUGGUGCCGUAACUUCGGGAGAAGGCACGCUGGUGUGUAGGUGAAGCCCCUGCGGGUGGAGCUGAGACCAGUCGAAGAUACCAGCUGGCUGCAACUGUUUAUUAAAAACACAGCACUGUGCAAACACGAAAGUGGACGUAUACGGUGUGACGCCUGCCCGGUGCCGGAAGGUUAAUUGAUGGGGUUAUCCGUAAGGAGAAGCUCUUGAUCGAAGCCCCGGUAAACGGCGGCCGUAACUAUAACGGUCCUAAGGUAGCGAAAUUCCUUGUCGGGUAAGUUCCGACCUGCACGAAUGGCGUAAUGAUGGCCAGGCUGUCUCCACCCGAGACUCAGUGAAAUUGAACUCGCUGUGAAGAUGCAGUGUACCCGCGGCAAGACGGAAAGACCCCGUGAACCUUUACUAUAGCUUGACACUGAACAUUGAGCCUUGAUGUGUAGGAUAGGUGGGAGGCUUUGAAGCGUGGACGCCAGUCUGCGUGGAGCCAACCUUGAAAUACCACCCUUUAAUGUUUGAUGUUCUAACGUUGGCCCCUAAUCGGGGUUGCGGACAGUGUCUGGUGGGUAGUUUGACUGGGGCGGUCUCCUCCCAAAGCGUAACGGAGGAGCACGAAGGUUAGCUAAUCCUGGUCGGACAUCAGGAGGUUAGUGCAAUGGCAUAAGCUAGCUUGACUGCGAGCGUGACGGCGCGAGCAGGUGCGAAAGCAGGUCAUAGUGAUCCGGUGGUUCUGAAUGGAAGGGCCAUCGCUCAACGGAUAAAAGGUACUCCGGGGAUAACAGGCUGAUACCGCCCAAGAGUUCAUAUCGACGGCGGUGUUUGGCACCUCGAUGUCGGCUCAUCACAUCCUGGGGCUGAAGUAGGUCCCAAGGGUAUGGCUGUUCGCCAUUUAAAGUGGUACGCGAGCUGGGUUUAGAACGUCGUGAGACAGUUCGGUCCCUAUCUGCCGUGGGCGCUGGAGAAUUGAGGGGGGCUGCUCCUAGUACGAGAGGACCGGAGUGGACGCAUCACUGGUGUUCGGGUUGUCAUGCCAAUGGCACUGCCCGGUAGCUAAAUGCGGAAGAGAUAAGUGCUGAAAGCAUCUAAGCACGAAACUUGCCCCGAGAUGAGUUCUCCCUGAGACUUUAAGUCUCCUGAAGGAACGUUGAAGACGACGACGUUGAUAGGCCGGGUGUGUAAGCGCAGCGAUGCGUUGAGCUAACCGGUACUAAUGAACCGUGAGGCUUAACCUU
This 2901-nucleotide ribosomal RNA is filed under the name Klebsiella pneumoniae. RNAcentral describes it as "bacterial LSU rRNA". It matches the Rfam family "Bacterial large subunit ribosomal RNA". RNAcentral also lists the same sequence under 1 other name. Lineage: Bacteria; Pseudomonadati; Pseudomonadota; Gammaproteobacteria; Enterobacterales; Enterobacteriaceae. The record is from RNAcentral.